Molecule: ribosomal RNA, 764 nt
Filed under: uncultured bacterium
Lineage: Bacteria
Description: partial 16S ribosomal RNA
Rfam family: Bacterial small subunit ribosomal RNA
Source: RNAcentral
GGCCGCGGGAAUUCGAUUGGAUCGCCCUUAGAGUUUGAUCAUGGCUCAGGACGAACGCUGGCGGCGUGCCUAACACAUGCAAGUCGAGCGGAGAAUGCAAGAUGUUUACAUUGAGCAUUCUUAGCGGCGGACGGGUGAGUAACACGUGGGUAACCUGCCUCAGAGUGGGGGAUAGCCUUUCGAAAGGAAGAUUAAUACCGCAUAAGCUUGUAGCAUCGCAUGGUGCAGCAAGAAAAGGAGCAAUCCGCUCUGAGAUGGACCCGCGGCGCAUUAGCUAGUUGGUGAGGUAACGGCUCACCAAGGCCACGAUGCGUAGCCGACCUGAGAGGGUGAUCGGCCACAUUGGAACUGAGACACGGUCCAGACUCCUACGGGAGGCAGCAGUGGGGAAUAUUGCACAAUGGGCGAAAGCCUGAUGCAGCAACGCCGCGUGAGUGAUGAAGGCUUUCGAGUCGUAAAGCUCUUUGAUCAGGGAUGAUAAUGACAGUACCUGAAAAACAAGCCACGGCUAACUACGUGCCAGCAGCCGCGGUAAUACGUAGGUGGCGAGCGUUGUCCGGAAUUACUGGGCGUAAAGGAUGCGUAGGUGGAUAUUUAAGUGGGAUGUGAAAUCCCCGGGCUCAACCCGGGAACUGCAUUCCAAACUGGAUAUCUAGAGUGCAGGAGAGGAAAGCGGAAUUCCUAGUGUAGCGGUGAAAUGCGUAGAUAUUAGGAGGAACACCAGUGGCGAAGGCGGCUUUUCUGGACUGUAACUGACACUGAGG